ACAACGAAGAGUUUGAUCCUGGCUCAGGAUGAACGCUAGCGGCAGGCUUAACACAUGCAAGUCGAGGGGUAACAGGGGAGCUUGCUCUCGCUGACGACCGGCGCACGGGUGAGUAACGCGUAUGCAACCUACCCAUAACUGGGGCAUAGCUUCCGGAAACGGAAAUUAAUACCCCAUAGUAUUAUAAUAUCGCAUGAUAUAAUAAUUAAAGUUCCGACGGUUAUGGAUGGGCAUGCGUGCCAUUAGCUAGUUGGUGAGGUAACGGCUCACCAAGGCUAUGAUGGCUAGGGGGUCUUAAAGGAUGGUCCCCCACACUGGUACUGAGACACGGACCAGACUCCUACGGGAGGCAGCAGUGAGGAAUAUUGGUCAAUGGGCG
RNAcentral lists this ribosomal RNA (379 nucleotides) under Pseudomonadota bacterium. RNAcentral describes it as "bacterial SSU rRNA". It matches the Rfam family "Bacterial small subunit ribosomal RNA", at positions 1 to 377 of the family's 1533-position model. Lineage: Bacteria; Pseudomonadati; Pseudomonadota. The record is from RNAcentral.